GCAAUGUUCUCUUUCUGGAGAUCUCUGUAUACCUGAGGGCUUCUCAAGAUUAUUUGUGGAAGAAUACCACAGGAGAAAAAAAAAUCUAGGCUGGAGAUUUCAUAGAGUUCUACUAAUGUCUUAUUUACGAUCCACUGUUGUUUUCGUAACUUGCUUGCAAGGAGCAUGAAGAAAUUCAGCAUGUUUCUGAAACUGAGUUAAUGAGAUGAAACACAGAAUUUUUUCACAUCGUUCAUCAAAAGUACUUUUUACUCUUCAGGAGAAGAAAAGGACAGACAGAAACAGCAGACUACAGCCUGAGAGUAACAGAUGGAAGAUACUGUCUAUCAAACAUAAAGCCAUGUAUUCAGAAAUCAAAAGGAUAUGCUGUUGAAAAGUUACCUUAAAAUGUUUGUCUUCCAAAAAGUAAGUAAAAAUGGAGAUGAAGUGAACCUCAUGCUCAGUGUUCC
This 449-nucleotide long non-coding RNA is filed under the name Gallus gallus (chicken). The record is from RNAcentral. Lineage: Eukaryota; Metazoa; Chordata; Aves; Galliformes; Phasianidae.